RNAcentral lists this long non-coding RNA (1050 nucleotides) under Fukomys damarensis (Damara mole-rat). RNAcentral's name for it is "lncRNA (ENSFDAG00000028414.1)". The record is from RNAcentral. Lineage: Eukaryota; Metazoa; Chordata; Mammalia; Rodentia; Bathyergidae.
CUUUUUCUGUGACUGACAUGAAAGGGUUAUGAAGGAGUCUUCACACAAAUACAAUGCAAUUUUUCCAAAGGGUCAGAGGGAAAUAUUUUAGGUUUUGAGAGAUACGAGGUGUCUGACACAACUACUCAACUCUGUCCUUUUAGUAGGAAAAAAGAGCCAUAAACUACAAACAAAAAAUGAGCACAGCUGUGUCCCAGUAAAUCUUUGUUUAAAAAUCAGUCAUGGGACAAGAUUUGGCCUAUGGAUCACCACUUCCCCAGCCCUGAUUUAAUGAGUGGCAACAGGUGCGGAGAAGGCGUCUCAUGGUUCCCCCUGCGCAGAUGAUCUCUAGAGCCCAGAUUUAUCUGAAGUCCUCUUCCGUGUUCUUGAUAAGCAUUCUUGUGGAGGGAAGGUGCAUAAUAAAUGGAAAGGAUGCCCUUGCUCUUGUGAGACUGAUAUAUAUUUCUGAAGAGUCUAACAAAAAUCUAACAGCUCCGGACUACACAUGCUUUUAACAACUGAACCAAAGCCAGAUUCCUUGUUUUAAAUAUCUUCGUGCCAGUUGCUAAAAGAACAUCUUGAGACCAAAGGAAAGUUAAAAGGGAGUAUGAUUGGCCUUUGCUCAUUAAUUCAAUCAACAAUGUACGUGGAACUCACCUAUAAAGUGCAGUGGCUCUGAACAAGGAAGUCCUGUCCGAAUGUCAGUUCUGCUGCCCUCUUACAUGCGGCCGUGAACUUCCCGGAUUUCUCCAAGUCUGUUUCAUUAUCUUCAAAAUGGGAAUAGCUCUGUCUUAAAGACAAGAGAUAGAGGCUAUGUUAUAGGAAUUAAAAUGAUCAAAGAACAUAGUGCUUCUAAGUAGGACAGAGCUAAGAAUUAGAAUUUUUAGCAUGUGCCCAUCAUGUGAACAUCCCAUCACCCGAAAUGAAUUAAUUGCUGGAAUAAAUUGGUUCAAAUGUCUACCAUCUUGAAAAUUUUAAUUUUCACCAUUGAGCACCUAGCAGCAAAUUCCCCUCCACUCCCUGUACAGGGUCACACAAACUAAAGAAUGCCUGGCUAGCUUAGGGGCAGAA